This is a long non-coding RNA of Corvus hawaiiensis (hawaiian crow), 11848 nucleotides long. RefSeq lists it as uncharacterized. The record is from RefSeq and is a predicted model, not a curated record. The transcript has 9 exons. Lineage: Eukaryota; Metazoa; Chordata; Aves; Passeriformes; Corvidae.
CAUCCUGGGUGCUACUGCCGGCUGCUGACCUGUCUCACCUCUCUUUUUUCCUAUCUCCACUGUGCAAUGACCUCGUUUCUUUUCACAGUUUGAUCUUUCUGGGUAUCUUGGCCACUCAGAUCCCCCAGCCAAAGAAUGACCAAUACCAACAGCUUGGAGGCACCUGGCCAGCAGCAAUAUCAGGAGGAAGAAUGAAUGACACUUUAUUUUAUUGAAACCAGAAAGGAUGCUGUUGGCCACUUUGCUCAACGUCCUCAUCAGUACUGCCCAUGGGGCGCUCUGCUUGCUUUCUGGAUUGGGUCAAUAAUAUGCCUCUGACCCAGGAUUUUUCCAGGCUGUUGAAAUGUCAGAUGGCAAAAACAAGCAAGACUUCCAGAUGGAGCAACUGGAAGAAAAACACAACAAAGAUGGUAGUGGGAAAGCUUCAGACUCACGCUUGAUUGGGAGUCCCAUGCUUGGGGUUGGGAGUCCCCACCUGUGGCUUCCAAACCCACUCUCUGUGCAAGCCCUUGUGCAAAGCAGCAUCCCAUGAGGAAGUUCUUCAUUAGUACGGAUUGAAGACUGAAAUAAAUAAAAGAAAUUUGUGGUGCUCACAACCUCCUACCUGCUGCUCUGCAAGUGGGACCCCUCACCAUGAGAUGCUUUUGCAGUGCAGCAAACCUCACUGACCACCACUGACUGUGUUGGAUACUUCACUGUUCCAGAGGAAUCUGGAGAAGAGGGCUGUGGAAGUGGAGCAGAGCAGCCAUUUCCAGAGAACUGUCCUGGGAGGACCAACUCUGGCAUUUUGGCUGCUGCAAGUGAGCCAGAAAAUCACCAGGAAGUGAUAUCCAUCCCCUGGAGACACCAUGGCCCAUGCUGGUCAUGGUACCAGUCCUCUUCUGGGAGCCUUGGGUUUUUCUUCAGAGCCCCUCAGCUCUCUGUAGUGUGGGGUAUUGGGACCAGGAAGGUCCCAGUCUGGAGGUGGGAAGUCCUGCUGCCUCCCAGGGCUGCCAGCUUGUUCCAGUUCUGAGUCAUUCCCUCUCCUGUUUGUUUUUGGUGUUUAUUUAUUUACCGCCGAGGCGUCAGCCCAGAGCAGGCUGACUGUGCUGAACUCCUUCGGUGGCCUGGUGGCUGCUGCCAGCUCUGUCAAAGCCCUGCAGUGCUGGGAGUGUUUCACCCAGAGCCAAGGGGGAGAGAAUCAUGUUCCUUUGAGAGCAACACCACCGCAAGCUCACAUCAGAAGCGUGCUUGGCUCUAGGUAAAGAGUACAGCAGCACAGGGUAAACUACUUUCACCCUCCCCACAGAGCCCCUGGCUCCCAGAUCUGCUCCCUGAACCAGCUGGGGGGUAGAAAAAGGUUAAGAGGCAUAUCCUUUGCUGUAAUUAUAUCCUGUUGCUGGAGAUAUUGUGCUCUGCUUAAAGAAAUCAUCAUAAUGCAGCCUCCCGGAGAAGGUAAUUACUGCGCAUCUUCUGAACGGCUGCAUGUGAAUGUCUGCUCAAGCUGCUGUCAGCAGCAAGUUUCAACACAUCUUACAUACCAGGCAUUUUACAGCCCUAGUUUUAUUUGUUUUCAUCAUCCCUUGCCUUGUGCUUUAGUUUUCAUUAAUGGACCUGGGGCUUUUUUGUUUGUAUUGGUUUUCUUUUCCUCUUUUUAUUUCUCUCUCUCUUUUUUUUUUUUUUUUUUUUUUUUAAGGAGGCCAGAGUUCAUGUCUUUGAUGGAUCAUUUCAGUGGUGGCCACAGCUCUUAUUUGCUGUGUUUCCAUUCCUCUGUGGUGGUUUGAGGGGGACCAUCUGGAAGAUGUUGUUUCUGAGCCAUUCCCAUACGAUAGGAUCUGAGUGGGCCCUGGUUUCCUACACUGAUCCCAGAUAAAAUGGACUAUACCACCUCUGAAAAAACUUGGUGUCUCUCCACCUCUAGCUUAACUGCACAGAUUUAAGCCCGUAAGACAACCUAUUUUUCCUGUUGUACUUUCUGAGCUUCUCUCUCAUGUUGAAAAAGGGUUGCUUAGGGAUGUCAGACCGCUGAGCUUUCUGAAACCCAUCACCUCCCUGCCUUGGUUGGCAACCAGUGCACAUGUCACUGUGUGUGGUGGCUAAAGUUCUGGAGGGUCACAGCCUGGUCAUUCUGUGCAUGGGGAUUGCCAUGUCUUCAGAGCCUCAUCCUUUGGCUUUGCAGGGACAUGUGAGCCAAAGAGAUGGGGCAAUACCAAAGAGCCCUGGUUUGUCACACUAGGAGUGACCCAUCUACUUUUUCUUUCUCAAAGGCACUUGUGCUUGCCUUUCCCCAGCACUGUGUGAUUUGCCUUCAUGUUGUGCAUGUAGGGUCACAAUGUGUGAUCAUGACAUCCUGCACUGCUGUACAGACAUCCUGUCCAUCUCGUGGCCAGCUCAAGGGAGGAUUUGAAACUACUCCUUGAAUUCCCUCUUUGUGAAAAUGGCUGAGGCUUACUUUUUCAAUGCUGAAGCUGAAUUAUCUUAGUACCCUCACUGAUUUAUUGUUUGUGGCCAGUCUUUUGUGCAUGCUGAGCAUCUGCUACGUUGCAUCGAGAGGUGGUUCCAUCCUCUGUGAUUCUUGGUGAAGCCUGAAAGGCAGUCUGGCUCCUGGAGGAUGGAAGGUGCUGUAAUAAAUGUGAGCUCAUAAUGUUGUUGUUAAAAAUAACAGGAGCUAAAUUAUAAAGAAAAAAAAUCAAUCUUAUUCAGUCCUAGCCCAAGGGGGAAAUGGGCAUGAAGGAUUGGGCAAUCCUUCUGUAAGUUCUUUCUUUAGACUAUAUUUAAACCACACUGAGAGCCAGAUUCUCAGCUGGUGUCAAUUGUUAUUGACUUCAGUGGAGUGAAGCUGGUUUACACAAGUUGAGGCUGCUAAAUGCCAGUAUUUGGAUUAAGCUGAGGCAGCUGGAAUCACUUUUGCAGAAACCUCUAGUGUGAUGCUGGUUCAAAAGCUCUGAGCCCUCCUGAGUGCUUGAGCCAUCAGUGCUUUUGGGAUGUGAAUGGCUAUGAAAAGACCUUCACUUGGGUCAAAAUUUUAUCUUAGCUAGGUUCUGCAACUCUGAUGUCUGUCAUUUUUCUGUAGUCAUUGCUUUAGAUGGGCUUCUCUGAAAAACUCUGCAAAAACCUUUUUUGUUUGCUACUUCACUGGCAUCAUCUCCUGUCUAGACACUCUAAUUAUGAGAACCAGGGAGCAUACAGUGUGAUGUGUAGAUAAACCUGGAUAACUCCAAGGCAACCGUGUGCUGCUUCCAUCCCUCCCUGACUGCUCUCCAAACUAGUUUUGCCCAUUUGUUGUCUGUUCCAAUAUGAACAUUAGCAAAGCGGAGGCUGUACAGUGUCACCUGGGCAAUGUUUAUUUGAAUUUUGCAUUCAGAAGCAAAUGUUCCGAGCCAUAGAAACAGAGAGGCAAACCUCAGAUUGGAGUGGGAUCUAGCAAUAGUGGGUUAGCCUUCCCUACUUUUGUUUUUCAGUAUGCCCAAAAACUCUCUUGAUUAAAUAAACAACCUCCCCUACCACCCUGUCAGCAGAAUGCAUUAAAUCCAUAAGCUGAUUUGAGUAAUUUUUGUGUACUUAUAUCCACUCUAAUUCUCUUCUUAUCUAUGGACUUGUUUUUUAUUUAUGCCAGCACAGACUGUAUCCAAUCUCAAGCUCUAUCUAUUUCAGCAAUUUUUUUUUUUUUGUAAGAGCAUUCAAAGCUGCUGGUUUAAAAGGAGACCAUCAAAUAAUCAAUACAUAUAGAACAUUGGAAUGCAUUUUAUUGUUUCAGUUGCUGUCCACAGUAUGUCACCUCCAGAAGUGUGUAAUGAGAAGAAAAAAACCACUUUUUUUCUAUUGCCCUUUUUUAAUGUGUCAUCUUUCCUGAUUCAUUGCUGUAACUGGUACCAGGGAGAAUUGUCUGUAAUACUUAGCAAGGCCACUGGGAUUCAGACUCUUUCUCAAGUUUCUGCACUUGGAGUGCCACACGGAUUUCCAUGGGUCUCUGCAGGAACUGGGGCUCAUGAGAAUAAUCUGUUUGCUGUGUUUUGACUCCAAAUCAAUGUGCUUUGAAGUGAUAAGGAGGGAUAUUUUGUUUGCUUUUUGUUUUCUUGGUAGCAGCUUUUCAAAAGCACCAUAUUGAUCCAUGGGUGAAGUGCCACCACACAGCUCCUUUCCUCCAAGGGAGGCACUUUUUGCACUCCUGGUAGUGAUAUGGGUGAGUGAAUGCUCUGGGAUGUGCAUUUAGGGUCCAGCUGUUUAAAGUCUGCAUCAAAAAUAAUCUUUUUAUGGGUCCUGGUAAUGGAAACAUGCCACGAGCAUGGAUGACUUGAAAGAAAUUGAUAAUAGAGCAGGUUAAUGGGUCACUUGGAUGAACCUCCCAGCUUUGGGCUCUGAUAGAAGCUGUUGAGUUCGAGCUGCACAGUGCUGCCUCUUUGGGAAAAUUGCACAGGUUUAAUUAGAAUCUGUUUCUAAACAAAUGGAAAAGCUAUCUGAGUACUCUUCUUUCAGUGUAAGCUUGCGGUUUCAUCUGAAUUCACCUAGGGCACAUCAGAGUGUAUCUUUAUAAAGAGCUGAAUUUGGUGGCUGAUCUAUUGAAAGAGUGAAUCUCCAAUCCUGAGCCCCUGAAGUCAAACUCCAGGUGGGAUUUCUAGACUAGUCUGUGUGGGGAUGUCCUCAGCCUGUAUCUAGCCAAAUCUGAGACUCCAGAUGGAGCUGUGACUCUAGGACUUUUCCCAAAGGAGUCGAGGCCAGAUCAGCUCCAGUCCUGUAUGGAAGUGGGAGCCCAUCUUUCCACUCUCCAGCCUUUUCUACUCUCAGGCUGGUGAUUUGUUUUGUGUUGGGUUGUUGACACUUGUUCAUAUCCCAGAAUUCAGUGCAUGCCCAUGAACCCAAGGAGAAAGGAAGCUCCAUAUGAGGGAAACAUACUUCUUUCCCUUCUUUUUUUUCCCCCCCAUCAGUGUAUCACCAUGUUGCUGUGAAUGGGUGCAUGGGCAUUGUGCUGCAAUGGCUUCCUGCACCUGAUCCAGCCCAUAACCAGUUCUCCCAUGCGCCAGGGUGACAGGGCCACAUCAUCCCUUCUCUGUGUUGAUCUUUGGAAUGGAUGAUCUUUUCUACCUUUUGCAUUGCACUGCUACUAAACCCGCAGGAGCAGCGGGAAGCUGGUUGGCAUUAUUCUGUAUGAGAGCUGUAGGAAGAGUAAGUUUGUGCUUCCUGCACUGGUUUGAAGGUAAGGGUGCCAGGCUGGCUAUGCACUGAACGUCCCACUAUGGUUAUUUUACUCCUCUCCUUGCUGGGUGAUGUUUCCACAGAAUGCACUAUAGCAGGCUUUGAACCAAUUUGUUGUUCUUUGUUUAUGAUGAAAUUAAUUCACUUGUUUUAUGUAAAUGAUCCAUGAGAUUGUUUACUUUGGCACAGGGAUCCAUGUGCUUUCUGAGAUGCAAGGAAUUUAGCUACUGGGAGCUUGUUUAGUUUGUUGCAUUUGCAAAACAGAUGGUGGAGGGGAAAAUGUAUGUGUGGGGAGGCUUUAGGACAGGAUUUGGUUAAUAUUUGCUGCCUCUGUAGUUUUCUUUGUUGCUUGCUGGAUGGAGAAGGAUGGGUUUCCGUCACAGGGAGAAGAAAGACAACACAUAAUAACUGAUAUGUAUUUUGCACACAGGGAAAAAGAAAUAUAAUUUGGACUUGAGCUGUCAUUUUGUGGGCAUCUUUGACAAAGUGGAACUCCCAGUUUCUAGGGCUGGUGGAGAUACAGAAGCACCAUGGAGGCCUUGUACAUUGACUUGGCUCUCUUCUCCUGACUCCUUUGGAGUCCCAUGGGCCUCAGCACAGCUCUGAGGCAUCUGUGAUAGCAUUGCUGUGCUGCUGCAGAGCAAAAGGAGGGAAAUCUUCAUGAGAUGUGCGCCCCAGAACUGGCUGGAGUGGGGUGAGGCCAUCCCCAUAACACUGGGGUGUCCUUUCAAUUAAUGCAUUUAGGUACAGCUCUCUGCUGAAGUGAGAAAUGGAUGUUGUCCUCAGUGGAACACUGAAGCAGAGAGUAGAGGAGGCAGGGCCCAUUCAAGGUCCCACAGAGGGUGCCUGAAGGAGAAUGAGGGCGGAUCCCAGCUCUGCUCAGCCAACUAUUUGAGCCUCAUGUCAGGCGGGUUGUUUUGUAAAAGGCCAAAGUUUCUGUUUUCCAAGGGCCAAAUUAGUGCCAAGUUGCAAGGGAUGCCUGGGAGCUCUGCCAUGUCCAUUUGUGGUGGGUUAUGCUUGCUGGGCUGUAGGCCAUUGGGAGAAAUGCCACUUUCCUCUGUACUUCCUAACAGAAAGGUUGUCUGUUCUCGUGGGUUCUGCCACUCCACGUUACAUGUUUGGGGGAGGCUUGGCCAAAAUCUUCUCAAGCCUUCAUGUUCUUGUCUUUGGGUUCGUUACGGGUGGCAAGCAACUCCCUCUUUUCAAGAUCCUCACAGGAAGGAUCUUGGAGCGAUCAGCCCCAAUCAAACUUGGCAUUUGCUCAGGGCAGGAUCAUAUUCCCCUGCAUGCCUCCGUGGAUCUGGCAGGCAAAGAAUCUGUCAUCGUGUCUGAUGACCUUGCCUGCAGUGCCAAGUGCCAAGAAUGCCCCAUGUUUUCUCAGGGUGGGGUGCUGUCCACCACCAAUGCCUGGCAAAGCAUGGUGGUGGGGUGAGCAUGCGCUGGGAUUGCUGGGCAUUUGCUGGUGGGCUUGGUGGGGGUGGAGCCCACAUGCCACCACCUGGUUAUUUUGGGCAAUGGACUGAGCUGCUGAGCUGGAUCUUUCACAGCUUCAUCCAAUCUUCUGGCCCUACAGAAAUAUUUCUCGGACAUUAAUGCUUUGCCUAUCUAGGUGUCGUGUUUCUGAGAGACCUCUAUGCUUCCCAGGAUGAGCCCAAGUGUAUAGGCUUUUACCUUUCUUCAAAUCUCAGAGCUGAAGGGCUGUGGUUAAAGGUGCUUGAGCAUUUUGCAAGCCUCCACUGACAGAAGGAUGGCUGUCUUGCGGGUCAAACAGUUUUCUGUCUGCUUAUUGACCUUGUUUUUACCAAGGCUAAAUGGAUAUUGGUUACAGAUGCUGCUGAGGCAAGUAGGGGCUUUAUUAGCAACCAUUUAACCCUUGUCCCUUUUAGAUAUUUAUGAGCUUCGGAAGUCUCACAUCUCUCUAAUUUCCAUAGGAAGAAGUUGAGGCAUAAUGAGUUGCAGUGGUUUGUCCCAAGCAAGUCUAACUAAAAAAGUGCUUGAAAUUCAAAUUUCUUUUUAAUUAGUCAGAUUCUUGAUCAGAAUGUCCUUCUGUUUCUGGUAGUGGAGCCUGCUGGCAUCUGUGUGAAAAGAGAGGGCAUCCUGGCCAAAUGGGAAUUACCAGGAGCAUGCAGUCUUCCUUCUCCUAGUGUGCCCAAAAUGAACAAAGAAUUGGUUGGAGCAGGAACAAACCGUUGCCAUGGAUGAACCAGCUAUGGAGAAUAACAGAGGUCAAUGAGCAAGAUGACUUCUGCCAUACGUGUGUAGCAUCUGUGCCCCGUUGCAGGGUGUGCCUGCAAGGUGAAAUGUAGCCUCCAGGCAGCACCUCGGAGCCAUGCUCUCCAGGAUAGGCUGGAUUUUGCCUGGCUUUGUGUGUAAGUGUGGUUGCCAACACCUGCACAAAGCAAAGGCAGAACAGACCUGAAGAGCAGCAUCUGGUACCUGUUUGACCAUGGCAGGGUGCAUGGCCAGGUGAAGCUGUGAGCAGCAGCAGCACUGAAGGUGAAAAUGACACUGACAGGAUUUUCUACUGGGCUGCAGCCCUGUGUGUCUUUACUCUUCCCCCAUCCUGUGUUGGAGCCCAAUCUUUCUCAUAAUUGUCCACCUGGAUCAAUUUAUAGAUUAAGUCCUGCAGCCAGCUGUAGGAGGCAUAGAUGUAUGGCACCAUGCAGCAUGUCCAGGAAUGGCCUGGCCUGCUCAGUGGGUCCUGCCUGCAGUCCUAUGCUCUUCCCAAACUCUAUUUGCAAUGCAGGUAAACUGUAAACAGGGGACUAGGUGUAAGAGGAGGGGGGUACACCAGUGUGUCUGCAUUUUCCUGCCUCUUUGCAGGCUUUUCAAUGAAAGACAAAAUAGUUGCAUGCCCCUUGGUAUUAUAGGUUUGCAGUUUCCCUCUUGUAGAUUUUAGAUGUGGAUCACAGCCCUGUGUUGGUAGACACUACACAGACAGCUAAGGAGGAGACCAUCCCUGUCAAGUUUUGGGACUAGAUACCAUAUAAAAGGCCAAAACAGGAUAGCUCGUGGGUGGAAUAGAGCUGGAAGGAGAAAGUGACAGUGCAGGGGAAGGAUGUAGUGGAAAAUCAGGAAUUGCACCUUGCAACUAGUCUAACCAGGACCCUAGGGGAGAAGGUUUCCAGGUGUUGUGGAAGCAGCUUUGCACACUUUUAUGGGGUGGUGUUUGGCAAAGAGCUAAUUCUCAAAAUUUGUUGCAUGACCACUCACUUAACCACUGAUUAGUGAGUGAUGCAGGACACUACCACUGCUGUUCAUGGGAAGAGACAGUUAGAAAGGGAGUAAAAGGUAGUCUAUAGGAAAGGAGAUAAUUUCAGGAAUCCCUGGAAAGUCCUUGCCUUGGCUGGCCAUUUCAGACCUUGUGCACUCUCUGGCCUGUCCUUUUGGCUGCAGUGCCUGUUGUGGUGCCACUGUAAAACCACUGGUGUGUGCACUUUGGGGACUCUUGUGGUCGGACAGGACAGGGCAAGACGUUUAUUGGGAAGGGUAGGGGUGAGGAGGACAAACGCACCAGGGAGGUAUGGUAGGUUGGUAAGAGAAAGGCUGUGGGUCCUGCAUAGAUUUAAGUUGAAAACUACUUUGUAAUCUGGUUGUGCAAGAGUGUCUGGGGCAGAGGGGAUGUGUGUGAUGGACAGGAAGGAGGGGUGCCUGCGUGUGUGCAUAAGGAAGUACCUGCAGCAGCUGUUGUAAUUGUUUUAAUAAAGGAACAUUUCCCUGAAUUUCUCUUUUGGCACCUGAGGGCCCUUCCCAGGAUGCCCUUGCUGAAACUGCUGUUUGAUUUCCAGGGCAAAUGCAGUACACACACACAGAGCCCCAUCUUGUUCAUGCAAACCCACAAUCCCAUUAGGACAUGGCUCCUCUUCCUUUUGGUAACAGGGAAGGGGGGGGUGCGGGGGUUGAAAUAAUGACAGAGAUGAUUAUAAUUAAUAUUUUUUUAUGUCUGAAGAGUGAAAGUCCUGCCCAAGUCCCCCAGCUGAGCACAAGCCAAAGUGCUAAAUCCCUGUAGGGGUGUGUUUUAUUACUGACGCUCUGCAUGUUGAGGCUGGUCGCGGGGUCUGAUGCUGUGCAUGUGGAAUUCUUGUGGCUCUUUUCCAUUGUGCCAAUGAAAAGCAGGAUCCCAUCCGUAUAAUAAAAAGGAAACUUGAAGGUUUCCACGCCUACAUGGAGGUGAAUGCUUGCAGCAUUAGUGUUUUAAUUAAGUGUUUUACCUUUGCAUGACUUUUCUGUAUGAUCACAUUGCAAGCCAUGAAGCAGAUAUUACCAGGGUCGGAAUAUGAUGGGAUUCUCAGUGGCCCUUCCACAAAAGGUUUUGGCUGCUCCUCUGUUAGGCUGGUCUGCACCUGGGUUGCUUUAUAGUCUCGUAAUUCUUCAUUGGGCAGUGUGUGCUGGGUUUGAUUCAUCCCUGACCGUUCCUCUUUCAGGAGCAGGGCUCUGCCAGGAUCAUGGGGACUGGGAGGCACUGAUUGCUUCCUGAUCCUCCCUUGACCAGCUGGGUGAUCUCAAACAGGUAGCUUGCUCCUUAGGACUCCUUUUGUCUGUGUGCCUGAUGUCACACACAGAUGGAAGGCUGAGCUGGGUAUGGAAGUUGUUCUUAGCCAGGCUGUCUACACAGUGUAGUAGUGAGGCAGCUGCUCUUCCCAAAUCAGUACAAAGCCGCAUCCUGCAAGAGCUGAUCGCUUCAGUGGGCUGAAAGAAACCCUCAGCACAGGUUGGACAAUGGACAGGAGAAUGUGGCUCCCUAUGUGACACCUGAGAGGUGCCUUUAACUGGGAGUAGUAGCAGUACUGGCAGCAACCCUGCAAGCUUUCAAAGAUCAUCUGAGCCUUUUGGAUGUGAACAUGUGGAGAGCUCCAGGAGCAUUGGUGACCUGAACUGAGUUGUACCUGUGCAGCUCUUGGUCGCUUAAAGCAAAUUUCAACCAUCAGAGUACAUGUGUUGCUCCCCUGAGAGAGAGGCUGUCUGGACCCAGUCCCCAGGAGCUCCCAGCCAUCCCUUUUCUCUGUCCUCCCCAUAAAGGAGGGGUGUGUUGUCUCUGCUAUAGCUGUGUUUCUCUUGCUACCACAGCAGGUGAAAGCCUGUGGGGACACAGGCCCACAGGUGGCAGCUCACAGCUUCUGCACCCAGCUUCAGCCUUGUCUCAGGUAAGGAGGAGGAUGUUUCCUUAUGAAGUGACUCAGUGUUUUUCCCUUUCUAUCAGCAGAAACUCCACCAGGAAUAGGCUGAGCCAUGCCAGCCUUGGUGGCUGCUCCUGCUGCUCCAGGAUGGGUGUCUCUCCAUCUCCCAUACAGCUGGCCCAUCUACUGCUGUUGCUCAACCUCCUCCUUUCUGCCCUUUUGGAAAUGAUGUGGACAAAACCAGCCUGUAAGUCUGUUCAGAUUGUGAGCUUCAGUGCCUGACCCUGGAUCUCCAGUCUGUACUUGCAAUACCUGCAACUCCGACGUGAUCUGCCAUCCAGGGGUGAGAUGCUUUGGGCUUUGAACUUCACACCCCAAAAAUACAGUCAGGACUGUUUGACAGAGCCAAGAACACUGAUGUGAAGCUGUAUCCUGCAAGUGCUGAGACCAUUGGUGAACUGUAGGAGGCCUUCAGCAACCACCAGCCUUACUCCAGAAGGAAAGGGUAGAAUUUCUUGGAUGAGCAAGCUGGGAGAAGGUUUCCAGAAAAACAGAUGAAUUGACUCUGUGUGUUCUCCGGGAUAAUGUGUAUCAGAAACCCUAUAUUCUCCCUCAAAAGAUGCCCUGCAUGGAUUAGAACAGAGAUCAAACAAAGGCUCCUUAAUGCUGCUUGGAGGCUGAUCUCUGGCCUCAUCCCUCUGUUCCAGUGCCACAGUUGGUGGGCAGUGCUGGGGACCACUUACUCUCCCUUCUAGUGCUCCAGCUGGAUCACUGGCACCAGGUCUUUAAGGUCUUCUGCUUCUUCUGGGGUUGAGAAAGGAACAUCCAGCUAUCAAGUCAGUGCUCCAUCUUGAAUUUUUAUAUAUCCCUCUUCAUCUUAUAAUGAACUGUACACCUGGAAGUGUGCCUCAGUGUGGUCAGUGCAACCAGCUGGGCACAGUGCUGAGCAAAGAUUGUAUCUCCUCUCUCUAGGAAGUCAGAGCUACCAUCAGUUACACACAAAGUCCCCAAAUAUCUUGGUAUCUCCUUUGCCCAAGCAUGAGACCAUGAUAUCACCUACUAUGCUGGGGGUAAGUUGGGUCCCUCAGCAAAGAAAAGCCUACUUCACCAGGCUUCAAAAAAGAGGGGAGAUUUUAAGUGGCUUUUAACUGUGUGGCUGGGGGCCUGCUAGCUGCUCUCCAGUUCUGGGCUGCUUCCAGAUCCUGGUGACAGGCACGGCAUUCAGCAGGAGCUCUAACAGCCAGUCCAUCAGAGCAGCAGUAUAUAAAUCAGAGGAUGGAGGCAAGAAACCAUUGGGGUCAGAAGCUGGCUUUAGGAGUAUGUUUUCACCCAUCUGAAAUCUGUCCACUGUCUGAGAUGUUAAGCCAUUUUCUGAGCUUCUCAUCAUUGUGUUGUGCUGUUUCUUUCCGUCCAGUUUGUAUAAAGAACAAGCCUUUGGGGUAGAACUUUUCUGCCUUUGACACUCCCAAUCCAUUCUUGCAAGUUUAUGUUUGUUGCUGUUGUUGAGUAACCUGUAAUAAAUAAUGUUUUGGUCAAGACUCUUAAAAUGGAUACGUGAA